AAAGCGAGUGCCGUGGGAGAAGAGCAACCCAGCAGGGAAGAGAGCCGUCAGCGGGGGAGAGGCCGAAUCUGGGCACAGGGUGUGCCGGGCUGUGCUCCCCGAGGAGCGAACAGUCCGCGAAGAACUGAAGCAGAGGCACAGUUGAUUCUGCUGGCACUUCCAGCCAUGCCAUUGGGAGUGGCCUCUUGCUCACCUGCUCUCCUCCCCGGGCUCCCACGAACAGAGCACACCCGACACCCGAAGGGUCCGGAAGAGGAAGAGGACGGGGACAACCCGGAGGACUGCGCGAGGCCUCCUGCAGGAGGAUCCGGGACAUCGGGCAGAUAAUCCAGGCUAAAGCAACACAUAAGGAAUAGUCACCUACGACGCACUUCGCGGGAGGUGUCGGCACUACGUCAUCCUCGUGGCAACCCUAUUAAACAGACGGGGUCGCGCCAGGCUGACCCGCGAGGACAGCGAGACGCGGGAGGCCCGGGGAGCCGCGGGGGCUGCUUCGUCAUCCGACUCGUAGUGGGGGCAGGAGCCAGCCAGUGCUCAGCAUCACCACCCUGUGGCUGACGAGGCUAAGUGACUUGCCCAGGGUCACGCAGCCAGUCAGUGGCGGAGCCUGUGGGAACCCGCAAAAGCCACGCAGGUGCCACUCGCCGGCGCUUUCUCCACCUGAAGGAAAACCGUGGUGUGUGGCUUGGCCUGGAAGGCCCCGCACGAGUCCAGGCGGCCGAGGUCCAGCCCCGGGGUGGCUCUGGGCCCUUCUCGACGUCUCUGGAAGACUGACGCUCGGGGAGCAGACUGGCUACCGACCCCACCGCCUGCCGCUGCCCGGCUGACCCUCUGCAGCAGGUCCCGCCACCGGGCAGCCCACCCUGAGGGCGACAGUGGGCACUAAGCAGCCGGAGGUCCCUAACCCGCCGCCCCUGCACCCCAGCCCUGUGGCCUGGUCACGACUUCCAGGAAGGCCCUGACUUGCCCCGACGUCCCUCCUGUGCAGAGCAGGUUUGUCCCAUGCCAUGGCUGCAAUGGCGGGGACAGGGACAGCAGACAGAGGGCCUGGGGAGCACAGCGGGUGCCACCUGCACGCUGGGGUGAUCUGGACCCACCUGCCCCUCGCCAGCUGUGACCCGGGCACGCAGCUGGGCACCUGCAGCCUCCCGGGUCUCCACGGCAGGGCCCGCACUCCCGAUCCCAGGACGCCUGGGCUGCUGCGAGGCCAGGGCACCUGCACCCAGGAGGCCUCCAGGAAGGAGCCACCGCUUUGCUUCAACGCCCGCAGCAAACAAACAAAAAACCCGACCCGAGGCUGGCAGCCCAUUCAUUCCUUCACGAGGAGGCUUCAGCCGGGAUCUGUUUGUUUUCCAUCAAUGGAAACCAAAACCGACCCUUGCAAGAUGGAGAUAUUUCACCAGAGGCCUCAGGACGUCUUCUAUCCCCUCUGAUGCUAUUUCCACGGAAAGGCCAAGAUUUCCUUCCGGUGCCUGAGACGGGAGGAUGAGCUCAGGGAGGACUUCACGGGCCUCCGCUGGGCUCUGGGAGCUGCAGGCCUGUGCUCCUUCCCAAGUCCCAGUACCCAAUUCCACGGCUCUCAACGCCGGCUGCACCUUAGAACCUUCUGGAAGAGACUCUAAAAUACAGACGCUCAGGCCGCGCCCCCGAGAGCCCGAUGGAAGUGGUCGGCGCGCUGGCGUCCGGGUAACAGAUGAUUGUUUUCCUUCGUGGGUGGAGACAGAAGGGGGUUAUAAUAACCAGAAGGUUCUGGGUCAAUCGGCUCCAACAAUCGACUGGCCAGGUGAGAGAAACUCCGUAAAAGAUUGAUCUGACCCAUGGGUGAUCCCUGUUUCCUGCAAAUAGACUAUUUUCAGGCCCGGCCUGAGAGAGGGCCCGAGCUGGCGGCGGCGGGAGGCCAGUCGGCCAAGGACGCAGCCCGGAGCGUGGGAAUCCCGAAGGGCCUAGGCUCUUCCACGUGCCAUCAGUCUCUCCAUUUGCCACCGAGGUCGGGAAGACACAGACUCCCCCAAGGGCUCCGUGUCAGCGUGACGCAGGGACAGGAGGACCCGGGGAAAGUCCAAGCAGUCUCAUAAGUCAGAAAAGACCGACUUCUGGGACCCCUGGGGGGCUCAGCGGUUUGGCGCCUGCCUUCGGCCCAGGGCGUGAUCCUGGAGACCCAGGAUCGAGUCCCACGUCGGGCUCCCUGCGUGGAGCCUGCUUCUCCCUCUGCCUGGGUCUCUGCCUCUCUCUCUCUGCAUCUCUCAUGAAUAAAUAAAAUCUUCAAAAAAAAAAAAAAAAAAAAGACCGACUUCUUUAUGAAAACACCCAGUGAUUUCCCAACACUCAGAAGAAAUCCAGAGAGUCUGUUUCAUUAAAAAAUAAACUGUGACGGUCUGACUGCUCACGAGGCUUAACCCGCUCUCUCGCUCCUUCGCGUGAAGCUGUGAGACCCACCACCGCGUCCCGCACACACACGGAAGCGGAGAAGCCGUCUAUUUUCAUUUCACCCCUGGUGACACAAUUCAGGUGGUUUUGGUAUUGGUUGAUUUUGUAGCCGGAACAGUGAUUCCCCCCAAAUGUCUGCGGUGGGACCGACCCUGGGACGGGAGCGCCAGGUGGUUCUGGGCACCUCGGGCCGUCACCUACCCCCGUCGUAGACGAGCGCAGCCGUACGAAAUGGACACAAGAUUCUACUUAAUGUAAAAAUGCAUGAAAUCGCCUUACACGUGAAACUGCUGUGUUUCCCCUUGGCAAUAGAAAGAUUAACAUUUCUGUACGGGGAAUGGUUUUGAUCUUGCCUUCCGGCUGCAGUAUUUACAUUCCAGUAAAGUUCAUCUGGAUCAGUUAGUAGUCACAUGAACCAAUGUGCAGCCCAAGAUCAUGCUCUUUUUUUUCUUUUUCUUUUUUUUAAUUCAAGAUCAUGCUCUUAAAUAAAGUCGUCAUCAAAAAAAAUGGGGUUGGGCGGGGGGGCGGGGGCUGCUUAUCCUAAUGAUCUAAAGAUGAAAAUCUCAAAGAGGCAGAAAUGUUCCUUAAUGUGGAUUUUUUGUCAUAUACUCUGGUCAAAAACCAGGAAAAAAAAGAUUAUUUCAGGACUAGAACAAGGCAUGAACAAACUGGUUAGAGAUGAGACUGAGAAAACAUCUGGUCAACCCAGAUACAUUGUCCUGCAAAGAUGAGAGACGGGUCUGUGGUUCAAAAAAUUAAAAUUAAAAAAAAUUUUAAUUGAAAUUUUAAUUUUAUUUAAAAAUUAAAAAAAAUUUUAAAU
This is a long non-coding RNA of Canis lupus familiaris (dog), 3247 nucleotides long. RefSeq lists it as uncharacterized. NCBI's taxonomy places the organism in Eukaryota, Metazoa, Chordata, Mammalia, Carnivora, Canidae. The record is from RefSeq and is a predicted model, not a curated record. The transcript is spliced from 7 exons.